GACGAACGCUGGCGGCGUGCUUAACACAUGCAAGUCGAACGGAAAGGCCCUGCUUUUGUGGGGUGCUCGAGUGGCGAACGGGUGAGUAACACGUGAGUAACCUGCCCUUGUCUUUGGGAUAACUUCAGGGAACUGGGGCUAAUACCGGAUAGGAGCUCCUGCUGCACGGGGGGGGUUGGAAAGUUUCGGCGGUGGGGGAUGGUUGGGCGGCUUAUGAGCUUGUUGGGGGAGUAGGGGCUUCCCAGGGGUUUGACGGGUAGCCCGCAUUGGAGGGUUGCCGGGGACAUGGGGACUACGAUACGGACCAGAAUCCAACGGGAGGCAGUAGUGGAAAAUAUUGCGGAAUGAGCGGAAGCCAGAUGCAGCAAUGUCGGGUGCGUGAUGCUGGCUUUCGGGUGGUAAACAGCUUUCGCAUGUGACGAAGAGUGAGUGACGGUAAUGGGUAAAGAAGCACCGGCUAACUACGUG
Molecule: ribosomal RNA, 468 nt
Filed under: uncultured bacterium
Lineage: Bacteria
Description: partial 16S ribosomal RNA
Rfam family: Bacterial small subunit ribosomal RNA
Source: RNAcentral